This 853-nucleotide ribosomal RNA is filed under the name Coniothyrium sp. C5-14. RNAcentral's name for it is "eukaryotic LSU rRNA". It matches the Rfam family "Eukaryotic large subunit ribosomal RNA", at positions 70 to 941 of the family's 3401-position model. The record is from RNAcentral. Lineage: Eukaryota; Fungi; Ascomycota; Dothideomycetes; Pleosporales; Coniothyriaceae.
AGGGAUUGCCCUAGUACGGCGAGUGAAGCGGCAACAGCUCAAAUUUGAAAUCUGGCUCUCUUUGAGGGUCCGAGUUGUAAUUUGCAGAGGAUGCUUUGGCAUUGGCGGCGGUCUAAGUUCCUUGGAACAGGACAUCGCAGAGGGUGAGAAUCCCGUACGUGGGCGCCUGCCUUUGCCGUGUAAAGCUCCUUCGACGAGUCGAGUUGUUUGGGAAUGCAGCUCUAAAUGGGAGGUAAAUUUCUUCUAAAGCUAAAUACCGGCCAGAGACCGAUAGCGCACAAGUAGAGUGAUCGAAAGAUGAAAAGUACUUUGGAAAGAGAGUCAAAAAGCACGUGAAAUUGUUGAAAGGGAAGCGCUUGCAGCCAGACUUGCCCGCAGUUGCUCACCUAGGCUUUGGCCUGGGGCACUCUUCUGCGGGCAGGCCAGCAUCAGUUUGGGCGGUUGGAUAAAGGCCUCUGUCACGUAUCUCCCUUCGGGGUGACCUUAUAGGGGAGGCGCAAUGCAACCAGCCCGGACUGAGGUCCGCGCAUCUGCUAGGAUGCUGGCGUAAUGGCUGUAAGCGGCCCGUCUUGAAACACGGACCAAGGAGUCUAACAUCUAUGCGAGUGUUUGGGUGUCAAGCCCGGGCGCGCAAUGAAAGUGAACGGAGGUGGGAACCCUUUGGGUGCACCAUCGACCGAUCCUGAUGUCUUCGGAUGGAUUUGAGUAAGAGCAUAGCUGUUGGGACCCGAAAGAUGGUGAACUAUGCUUGAAUAGGGUGAAGCCAGAGGAAACUCUGGUGGAGGCUCGCAGCGGUUCUGACGUGCAAAUCGAUCGUCAAAUUUGGGCAUAGGGGCGAAAGACUAAUCGAACC